AGGAGAUUAGAUAUAAUGUUGUGAAGAGGCUUCAGUAACUCAAAGCCAACAGUAGAACAAUUUUAUUCACAUGCUUUUUCAGUAAAUGAACGCAGUGAUGCAAAAAUUAGACAGAAAUAUUAACUAUUAUUAUCCUAUUAUUAUUAUUAUUAUUAUUAUUAUUAUUAUUAUUAUUAUUAUUAUUAUUAUUAUUAUUAUUAUUAUUAUUAUUAUUAUUACGCUAUCUGUUAUUUUCUAGGAAUAGUCAGUUCACAGUUGCCAUACUUUAGGUAUUAUAUACAUAAAAAGAUGUGACUGAAAGUGUGUUAUUACAUUUUUGUUUAAAAAGAAACCACGGAGACGUUUUCUUUUCUAGAUGACCUUUAUUGUGAAAACACUGACUAUACUAACUGGCUCAAAAGGUUCAAAUAUUACAUUAGCGUUCAUUUUAAACACAAUUUACACAUUGCUAGAGCGAAGGAAUGAAGGGGCAAAUGUCAAAUAAAUAAAUAAAUAAAUAAAUAAAUAAAUAAAUAAAUAAAUAAAUAAAUGUAUCACCCCUAUAGGCCCCCAUACAGGGGAGGAUUUAUGAAUCGAAUAAAUGGCGCCCAGACUUCUUCACCUGGCUGCUUGUGCGCAUGCUCACACGCGAUGCUCACAAACGGAAUGACGGGACUAAUUGGAGUGGCGCGAAUACUUCGGCCAAACGUUUAGCAACUUCUUUCAGCUACAGACAUCUUCGAGUGACAGACAUCUAAUUUGUGACAGUAGGUGGAUGUGGUGGUGGCAAAGGUCCUGCACCUCUAACCUCUGACAGUGAACGUGGUUCAGCUUUCUGCUGUUCAGGCCGCUCCAGUCAUUCUUUAUGUUACGCUGCCGCCUCAUGAAAGGACACCGUGAGUUUGUUUGGUGGACUGGAACGGCAUCAAAGCAAAGAACAGAGGCGCGUGUGCCGGGCUGUCGCUGAAGUGAGAACCGCUCCACGGCUGCUUGGUUUGAACAGAUGAAAGGGUUAAUCUCAUUUGACGACAUACAACCGUUCCUGGCCGAAGGGGGCAAUUUCACGAUUGGCCCCCGGUGGAUUGAACAUACGACCCACGGGCGACACUACCUGUUCCACCACUACCCCGGAUGGCGCCACUCCUGGAAGGGUGACCUUCCCAUUUGGAGCUGAGGAGUGUUUCAGAAAGCCAAUACAGCUGCCACGAUUUCAUUCACACAGACGAGCAGAGAGACAGAUCCAAAGAGACAGGAAUGAGAAGCCUAGCUUGGAUUCUGUACACAUUCCUUAAUAUCUGACCUUGUGUGUGUGAUUGUGUGUGUGUGAAGGAUGGACAGUAGAUAUUGGAUCAAGUACUUGAUACUACUCAGUAAUACUUAGCCAUAUCCAGAUUUCAUAAUAAAUUUGAAAUAAUAAAAUAUUGCUAGCUUGUA
RNAcentral lists this long non-coding RNA (1413 nucleotides) under Betta splendens (Siamese fighting fish). RNAcentral describes it as "lncRNA (ENSBSLG00000018851.1)". Lineage: Eukaryota; Metazoa; Chordata; Actinopteri; Anabantiformes; Osphronemidae. The record is from RNAcentral.